AGACUCAAAAUAUCCACAGGAAAAUACACAACGCCGGCAUACUACUAAGUGAUAGAAAUUUCAACAUCAGUACCGCCACUCUAAAAAGUUGUGUUAACAGUACUUUCCUGUGGAUAUUUUGACCAUCUGAAGGAUCAACACCACGGACCACCAGUAGAGUAAGUUUCAAUGUCAUUUUAUUUAACAUUCUGGCUUGUAAAGAGAACUGAAAUGAUUUUGCAAUCAUUAGCUUCAGUCUGUAUACCAGAAGGUGGUAAGUGCCUUCCCGAAAGCAUUCACACCCCUUGACCUAUUUCACUUUUUUAUUUGUGACCGCCUGAAUUCAAAACGGAUGAAAUAAAAAUUCUAACCCGUCUACACAAAAUACCCCAUAAUGACAGUGGAAAUAUUUGCGUGAUUAUUGAAAAUGAAAUGCAAAAAUAUAUGUCAACUAUUCGCAUCCCAGAGUCAAUUCUUUGUAGAAGCACCUUAGGCAGUGAUUACAGCUGUGAGUCUCUCUGGGUUAUUGUUCUGCUGAAAGGUGAAUUAUUUUCCCAGUGUCUGGUGGAAAGCAGAAGAUACCAGGAUUUCCUCUAGGAUCUUGCUUGUGUUUAGCUCAUUCUGUCUUUUUUCGUUUUUAUCCUGAAACUACCCCAGUCUGCAAUGAUAAGCAUACCCAUAACAUGAUGCAACCACCACUGCUUGACAAUAUGAAGAGGUGUGAAAUACCCAGCAACGUUGCAAUUCUUGACACACUCAAACUGGUGAGCCUGGCACCUACCAUACCCUGUUCAAAGGUACUUCAAUAUUUUGUCCUGCCCAUUCACCCUCUGAAUGACAUAUAUACAUGAUCCAUGUCGCAAGGCUUAACAAUCCUCCUUUAACCGGUCUCUUCAUAUACACUGAUUGAACAGGUGACCUCUGUAAGGAUCAUAGCAUUCACCUGGUCAGUCUGUCAUGGAAAGUACACUGUGUAUAUCUUUCUACAUACUUAGUGUGGUUUUAGUCAUUUAAGUUUACU
Oncorhynchus kisutch (coho salmon) is the source of this 1000-nucleotide long non-coding RNA. RefSeq lists it as uncharacterized. NCBI's taxonomy places the organism in Eukaryota, Metazoa, Chordata, Actinopteri, Salmoniformes, Salmonidae. The transcript has 3 exons. The record is from RefSeq and is a predicted model, not a curated record.